This 398-nucleotide ribosomal RNA is filed under the name uncultured bacterium. RNAcentral's name for it is "partial 16S ribosomal RNA". It matches the Rfam family "Bacterial small subunit ribosomal RNA", at positions 523 to 918 of the family's 1533-position model. The record is from RNAcentral.
AUACGUAGGGUGCGAGCGUUGUCCGGAAUUACUGGGCGUAAAGAGCUCGUAGGUGGUUUGUCGCGUUGUCUGUGAAAUUCCGGGGCUUAACUCCGGGCGUGCAGGCGAUACGGGCAUAACUUGAGUACUGUAGGGGAGACUGGAAUUCCUGGUGUAGCGGUGAAAUGCGCAGAUAUCAGGAGGAACACCGGUGGCGAAGGCGGGUCUCUGGGCAGUAACUGACGCUGAGGAGCGAAAGCAUGGGUAGCGAACAGGAUUAGAUACCCUGGUAGUCCAUGCCGUAAACGGUGGGCGCUAGGUGUAGGGGUCUUCCACGACUUCUGUGCCGUAGCUAACGCAUUAAGCGCCCCGCCUGGGGAGUACGGCCGCAAGGCUAAAACUCAAAUGAAUUGACGGGG